RNAcentral lists this transfer RNA (64 nucleotides) under Apolemotermes fodiens. RNAcentral describes it as "tRNA-Asp". The record is from RNAcentral. Lineage: Eukaryota; Metazoa; Arthropoda; Insecta; Blattodea; Termitidae.
GAAGGAUUAGUUAACAUUAUAACAUCAGAAUGUCAAACUGAAAUAAUCGUAAAGAUAUCCUUCU